GCAUUUGUAAACGUACUGUUAGUGCUAUUCACGAAACCUCUCUCUCUCUUUCUAGAUUGAGGAAGGGCCUCUCUAGUGAUAAGCAUCCUCCCUUUCUGUUUGGAUGCCGACAAUUUACUUUCUCUUUGUGUAUAGGGACGUCUUGAUUCAGUUCUUUCUUCAUUAUUGUUGUUUCUGUUCAUAUGUGUUGAAUGUUGCCAAUUUUAGCUGUCAAUUGGGUUCUUUAUCUGCCUCCAGUUUUAUGCCAGUUCAAUUGCUUGCCUUUUGUUUUUAUUAAUUUCAUGACCUUGUUUUUAGCUUUUUUUGAACUGUAAUUUCAUACACGUUCUAUGAUAUGAACUGCAGCACAUACAGAUAAUAAGCCUAUGGAAAGUUGGUUCAUAACCCAAAAAUGGACAAUUUCACUGUUGAUUAGAGCUGUGACUAUCAAUUUCCAUAUUGGCUUGGACAAAAUGUUUUGGGCAAGAUAAAAGAGACUCUGUAAUGUAAUAAUUUCCCGCAGGAUUUGUUAUUUUUAUGUUGAUCAUAUGACUUUCUUCUGCCCUGUAUCAGAUUUGGGGAUAUAUGGAAGAAGGAUUAUAGGAAAAGAGGAGCCAAUUACCUCCGAGAAAGAAAUUUUCAGUCUUUCGGGGCCUGUGCAUCUCGCUUCUGUCGACUGGAAUAAUUUUCAUCAUCGAACAUCCAUUGCUGCAAGCUUGGUUAAGGGAGUAUACAUUCUAGAACAUGACCGUCAACAGAAUCGCCAAGGCCCUCAAUCUCUUGCUCCGCCUUGGUGGCAAUUCUUCCAUUUUCAAUUGAAUCAUCUUCUUAUAGAUGUUGAUGGCUCCAUCUUUGGUGCCGUAUAUGAAUUCAAGUACUUCGCUUUUCAUUCUGCCCAAAAUGCCCCAAGAUUUGUUGUUGCCUUUCGGGGCACGAUCAAAAAGCGAGGGUCUAUUUUACGGGAUUUUGAACUGGAUCUCCUUUGCCUAUGCAACGAACUUCAUCGAAGCUCCCGCUUCCAGCUUGCAGAGCAAGCUCUCCAGAAUAUCGUUGCUUUAGCUGGAGCAACAAAUGUUUGGUUAGCAGGACAUUCUUCGGGGUCGGCUAUUGCGUUACUCGGAGGAAAGAAAAUGGCCACGAUGGGUAUUCCUAUUGAAAGUUACUUGUUCAAUCCACCACUCCUCUUUUCCCCAAUAGAAAGAAUCAAGAAUCAAAAGCUGAAGCAUGGAAUCCACUUCACAAGCAGCAUGGUAAAAGCAGGACUUGCUGUUGCUCUAAAGGGUAACCGCCAGCGGUCUCAGCUAGAAGAUCCAUUUGUUGCAUUAUCUACCUGGCUUCCUUACUUGUUUGUAAAUCCAGCUGAUCCUAUUUGCUCAAAGUAUAUUGGGUAUUUUGUGCAAAAGAACGGGAUGGAGGGGACUGGAACUGGAAAAUUUGAGAGACUAUUGGCUGCUGGGAGUAAGCUUUUAGGUGCACCAGGAAGGGAUUCAGAACCAUCGCAUCUAAUUCCUUCAGCAUAUCUGACUGUUAAUCUUAGUGAAUCUCCAAGUUUUAAACAAGCUCAUGGAAUUCACCAGUGGUGGAAUCCUAAUUUAAAAUUUCAAAGCGAACUGCACAAGUUCCGCUAAUGCAUUGGAGCUUUUAACAUGGAAUACUAAUAGUAGAUCUGAUGCACUGUUUAGUUGAAACCUCUGAAAAUAAUUCUUUACUUUCUGUAUAAAUCAAACAUUCAAUUGAAGGAUUCAGCAACUUUCCUUCCUAGAGUAAUUCCCACCAAGGUGGAGCAUGAGCUUGAGCUAAUCAAGCUCAACCAUUGGGACAUG
This 1802-nucleotide unclassified non-coding RNA is filed under the name Hevea brasiliensis (rubber tree). Lineage: Eukaryota; Viridiplantae; Streptophyta; Magnoliopsida; Malpighiales; Euphorbiaceae. The record is from RNAcentral.